GCCAGGUUUGGUAGUGCAUGCCUGUAGUCCCAGCUACUUGGGAGGCAGAGGGAGGAGGAUUACUUGAGCCCAGGAGUUUGAGGUUGCAGUGAGCUGUGAUCACACCACUGCACUCUAGCCUGGACAACAGAGCAAGAUCCUCUCUCUU
This is a non-coding RNA of Pan troglodytes (chimpanzee), 148 nucleotides long. It matches the Rfam family "Metazoan signal recognition particle RNA". From Rfam's summary of the family: The signal recognition particle (SRP) is a universally conserved ribonucleoprotein. The record is from Rfam. NCBI's taxonomy places the organism in Eukaryota, Metazoa, Chordata, Mammalia, Primates, Hominidae.